Molecule: small nuclear RNA, 23 nt
Filed under: Arabidopsis thaliana (thale cress)
Lineage: Eukaryota; Viridiplantae; Streptophyta; Magnoliopsida; Brassicales; Brassicaceae
Description: snRNA_19074
Source: RNAcentral
UUGAGAAAACUCCACAAUUAAAC